UGCGUAGGCGGGCUAAUAAGUCAGUGGUGAAAUCUUCCGGCUCAACCGGGAACCUGCCAUUGAUACUGUUAGUCUUGAGUUCGGUUGAGGUAGGCGUAAUGUGUAAUGUAGCGGUGAAAUGCUUAGAUAUUACACAGAACACCAAUUGCGUAGGCAGCUUACUAGACCGACACUGACGCUGAGGCACGAAAGCGUGGGGAGCGAACAGGAUUAGAUACCCUGGUAGUCC
This 229-nucleotide ribosomal RNA is filed under the name uncultured bacterium. RNAcentral's name for it is "partial 16S ribosomal RNA". It matches the Rfam family "Bacterial small subunit ribosomal RNA", at positions 568 to 796 of the family's 1533-position model. The record is from RNAcentral.